This 1271-nucleotide ribosomal RNA is filed under the name Limosilactobacillus fermentum. RNAcentral describes it as "bacterial SSU rRNA". It matches the Rfam family "Bacterial small subunit ribosomal RNA", at positions 92 to 1349 of the family's 1533-position model. The record is from RNAcentral. Lineage: Bacteria; Bacillati; Bacillota; Bacilli; Lactobacillales; Lactobacillaceae.
CGAGUGGCGGACGGGUGAGUAACACGUAGGUAACCUGCCCAGAAGCGGGGGACAACAUUUGGAAACAGAUGCUAAUACCGCAUAACAACGUUGUUCGCAUGAACAACGCUUAAAAGAUGGCUUCUCGCUAUCACUUCUGGAUGGACCUGCGGUGCAUUAGCUUGUUGGUGGGGUAAUGGCCUACCAAGGCGAUGAUGCAUAGCCGAGUUGAGAGACUGAUCGGCCACAAUGGGACUGAGACACGGCCCAUACUCCUACGGGAGGCAGCAGUAGGGAAUCUUCCACAAUGGGCGCAAGCCUGAUGGAGCAACACCGCGUGAGUGAAGAAGGGUUUCGGCUCGUAAAGCUCUGUUGUUAAAGAAGAACACGUAUGAGAGUAACUGUUCAUACGUUGACGGUAUUUAACCAGAAAGUCACGGCUAACUACGUGCCAGCAGCCGCGGUAAUACGUAGGUGGCAAGCGUUAUCCGGAUUUAUUGGGCGUAAAGAGAGUGCAGGCGGUUUUCUAAGUCUGAUGUGAAAGCCUUCGGCUUAACCGGAGAAGUGCAUCGGAAACUGGAUAACUUGAGUGCAGAAGAGGGUAGUGGAACUCCAUGUGUAGCGGUGGAAUGCGUAGAUAUAUGGAAGAACACCAGUGGCGAAGGCGGCUACCUGGUCUGCAACUGACGCUGAGACUCGAAAGCAUGGGUAGCGAACAGGAUUAGAUACCCUGGUAGUCCAUGCCGUAAACGAUGAGUGCUAGGUGUUGGAGGGUUUCCGCCCUUCAGUGCCGGAGCUAACGCAUUAAGCACUCCGCCUGGGGAGUACGACCGCAAGGUUGAAACUCAAAGGAAUUGACGGGGGCCCGCACAAGCGGUGGAGCAUGUGGUUUAAUUCGAAGCUACGCGAAGAACCUUACCAGGUCUUGACAUCUUGCGCCAACCCUAGAGAUAGGGCGUUUCCUUCGGGAACGCAAUGACAGGUGGUGCAUGGUCGUCGUCAGCUCGUGUCGUGAGAUGUUGGGUUAAGUCCCGCAACGAGCGCAACCCUUGUUACUAGUUGCCAGCAUUAAGUUGGGCACUCUAGUGAGACUGCCGGUGACAAACCGGAGGAAGGUGGGGACGACGUCAGAUCAUCAUGCCCCUUAUGACCUGGGCUACACACGUGCUACAAUGGACGGUACAACGAGUCGCGAACUCGCGAGGGCAAGCAAAUCUCUUAAAACCGUUCUCAGUUCGGACUGCAGGCUGCAACUCGCCUGCACGAAGUCGGAAUCGCUAGUAAUCGCGGAU